AAUCAAGAUGGGGGAAAAAUGAAUCUUUUACCAACAGGAACCGAGGCUCUAGUUAGAUCUUGGUUCCACACACACUCAAAGAGCAAAAAAGUACAUGGCACUCAGAGGAAUUAGACAAUUACAUUGUCAGCUGUUGCAGGGAGCUGAUUUUUUAAAUUGGAAACAACCUCUUCUCAUUCCUCCCCUCCUCCCCCAACCACCAUGAUAGCAGUGCCGUAAGUGCCAGGGAAGGCUGAGUCAAAGGGGGCAUCUAUGUCCAUGGAAAUGUCCAUG
This is a long non-coding RNA of Phyllostomus discolor (pale spear-nosed bat), 273 nucleotides long. RefSeq lists it as uncharacterized. The record is from RefSeq and is a predicted model, not a curated record. Lineage: Eukaryota; Metazoa; Chordata; Mammalia; Chiroptera; Phyllostomidae. The transcript has 3 exons.